This 380-nucleotide transfer-messenger RNA is filed under the name Halomonadaceae. RNAcentral describes it as "Larsenimonas sp023700005 Standard tmRNA". It matches the Rfam family "transfer-messenger RNA". From Rfam's summary of the family: Bacterial tmRNA, also known as 10Sa RNA or SsrA, is named for its dual tRNA and mRNA-like properties. Its role is to liberate the mRNA from a stalled ribosome. To accomplish this part of the tmRNA is used as a reading frame that ends in a translation stop signal. The record is from RNAcentral. Lineage: Bacteria; Pseudomonadati; Pseudomonadota; Gammaproteobacteria; Oceanospirillales. RNAcentral also lists the same sequence under 1 other name.
GGGGGCGAUAUGGUCUCGACGCCGGUAGUAAACUCCGAGGUGCAUGCCGAGAUUGUAACGUAUCUCGUAAAUCCCACGUUGCAACUAAAUAGUCGCAAACGACGAAAACUACGCUCAAGGUGCACUGGCAGCUUAAACCCUGCUAGUUGUUAGCCUGGCUCCAAGGGAAUGUGCCCAUUUAUUCCGGAGGAGAGAUGAGCGACAGCUAAUGGGAUCGUGUUUGGCCCUGUCCUCGUGUCAAACACUAAACUUUAGAGGAAUCGUGGUGCCGUAUCCUGCCCGUCGGAGGCGUCACUGCUAAAUCAAAAGACGGAACUAAGCAUGUAGAGCCGAAGGGUAAGCGCCGGCGGACGCGGGUUCAAUUCCCGCCGCCUCCACCA